AAGUCGUAACAAGGUUUCCGUAGGUGAACCUGCGGAAGGAUCAUUAGUGAUUUAACCAAAACUGGGAUGUGUUUUUUUGAGUAUUAUUCAUUCAAUUGAGUGUAUUUAUAAAACAUAAACCAAACUACCAUUUGUGAACAUGAAACAAUACUUUUGCUUUUAUUAGCAAAAGGAAAAAAAAAAACUAAGAGUUUAAAUCUUAUUUCAUAAUACAUUAUCUAAGCUUAUUUCAUAGACUUAUAAUCUAUUAAAACAACUAUUAACAAUGGAUCCCUUGGCUCUUA
This 284-nucleotide unclassified non-coding RNA is filed under the name fungal sp. Its description in RNAcentral is "partial internal transcribed spacer region". The stretch from base 1 to 46 matches the Rfam family "Eukaryotic small subunit ribosomal RNA", at positions 1786 to 1831 of the family's 1831-position model. Lineage: Eukaryota; Fungi. The record is from RNAcentral.